Molecule: ribosomal RNA, 497 nt
Filed under: uncultured bacterium
Lineage: Bacteria
Description: partial 16S ribosomal RNA
Rfam family: Bacterial small subunit ribosomal RNA
Source: RNAcentral
GAUGAACGCUGGCGGCGUGCCUAAUACAUGCAAGUCGAGCGACCAGACAAGGAGCUUGCUCUUCUGACGUUAGCGGCGGACGGGUGAGUAACACGUGGAUAACCUACCUAUUAUACUGGGAUAACUUCGGGAAACCGGAGCUCUAACCGGGCAUUAUAUUGACCCGCAUGGUCCAAUAGUGUACGACGGUUUUGCUGUUACAUAUAGCUGGAUCCGCGCCGCAUUAGCUAGUUGGUAAGGUAACGGCGUACCAAGGCAACGAUGCGUAGCUGACCUGAGAGGGUGAUCAGCCACACUGGAACUGAGACACGGUCCAGACUCCUACGGGAGGCAGCAGUGGGGAAUAUUCGACAAAGGGCGAAAGCCUGACGGAGCAACGCCGCGUGGGUGAUGAAGGUCUUCGGAUCGUAAAGCUCUGUUAUUAGGAAAGAACAGAUGUGUAAGUAACUAUCCACGUCUUGACGGUACCUAAUCAGAAAGCAACGGCUAACUACGUG